Non-coding RNA from Cricetulus griseus (Chinese hamster), 79 nucleotides. The record is from Rfam. Lineage: Eukaryota; Metazoa; Chordata; Mammalia; Rodentia; Cricetidae.
ACCGCUGAGCCAUCUCUCCAGCCCAUAAUUAGGGUUUUUAAAAAAAGAGACACUUGGGCUGGAGAGAUGGCUCAGAGGU